RNAcentral lists this ribosomal RNA (253 nucleotides) under uncultured bacterium. Its description in RNAcentral is "partial 16S ribosomal RNA". It matches the Rfam family "Bacterial small subunit ribosomal RNA", at positions 524 to 776 of the family's 1533-position model. The record is from RNAcentral.
UACGGGGGGGGCAAGCGUUGUUCGGAAUUACUGGGCGUAAAGGGCUCGUAGGCGGCCAACUAAGUCAGACGUGAAAUCCCCGGGCUCAACCCGGGAACUGCGUCCGAGACUGGCAGGCUCGAAUCCGGGAGAGGGAUGUGGAAUUCCAGGUGUAGCGGUGAAAUGCGUAGAUAUCUGGAGGAACACCGGUGGCGAAGGCGGCAUCCUGGACCGACAUUGACGCUGAGGCGCGAAAGCCAGGGGAGCAAACGGG